Peromyscus californicus insignis is the source of this 7608-nucleotide long non-coding RNA. RefSeq lists it as uncharacterized. The record is from RefSeq and is a predicted model, not a curated record. The transcript has 2 exons. Lineage: Eukaryota; Metazoa; Chordata; Mammalia; Rodentia; Cricetidae.
UAGGAAACACAGCCUAAGAGGCUCCUCAGAGGGGGCGACAUCUUCCAGCGAACCCGAACUUUCUAAGCAUCCCGCCUCCAGUCUUUGUGUGUAUGACUUUCUCUUUCUGGAAGGUAGGAUUACCCACCAGCCCUUUCGAGUGGCUACCUCUUACCCAUCUUUUCUCUGAGCCCAUCUCCAGUGCCCUCACCUCUAGGAAGCCCUUCCCUAACUUCAUUCUCCAAGUGAGGGUCUGAUGUCCCUUCUGGUUUCCAUGAGCCCCUGUGCGGUAUCAACCCUGGGCCAGGCCCAUUGCCAUCCCCCUGGGCCACCUGAGGAACAUGGUCAGCUCUGAAUAUCUGUCUGUCUUUGUGAACUGUACACAAAGAGGUCUUGCCUAGGUCCCCAGAGGGCUUGCCCCCUUUCAUCCCUUCACAUGGUCGGGUUACUCAACCCUGCCUGUCCAGGCUUACAGUGAUGCUGAGGAGGUGGCACUGGGCACCCCCCACGGUGCUGCCCCACUGCCUCUGCCCACCCUCAUUGCUACCCUGCCCUUGGCUAGGUUCCAGCCAGAGAAGGUUCUGGCCACUCCUGUUCAAAGAGAUCUGCCAUUGCCCCAGUUAAGUGGAGGGGUCUGGAGGCCACACUAAUUGAUUAAUUAAACCCUCUCGGUUAAUUAGCUGCAUCCCUCCAGGGAAAGAAGUCUAGAGCAGAGCCAAAGCCUAGCUAGGACUGGGGGAGGGGGUUCAUUAGCUGGGGUCAGGCCCAGCCUGAAGCUUGAUGCUCAAUGACUGAGAAGGCAGUGGAGAGGGGGGCUGAAGCAGUGCACAGAGGAGUUCUGGGCUCUGGAGCCAGACAGUUCACCUGGGGCAGGGAGAAGGGGCCUUUGUUUGUCCUGGACCCCCAUGACAUUCCUGAGCACACCCACCAUGAGCUGUAGAGACUGGGGGGAGAGAAAGAAGCGCAGGAGAGCUGGAGCAGUCCUGCAGGAGCAGAGGGUUGAAGCUGCAUCUGGCAUGGGAAGUCUGGGUCAGUGUUCGUGCACAGGACUGGGAGGAUCCAGGUAACCUUGUCCCCAAAGACUGCUGCUUCUGUGCCUUGAGGGAGGCUUUGAAUGCCAGCACCAGAACAUGAGAUCUGGGGUGUGUGGGGCAGGCUGUGGCUUGUUUGCAGCAGGGGAAGCACCUGAUCAGGAUUGGACUUAAGAAAGAGUUCAGGAGAGGGGCUUGGAGGAACAAGAGAAGGACAGGAACUGGAGCAAAGGGUAGGAACUGGGUGUCCAUGGGGCAAGGUCACCCAUUAGGUCUGGGGAUAAAAAGAUAAACUCCCACUACACUGGCUAGGAGCACCCAAGUUCUUCCUCUGCUUCUCUUUCCUCAUUGGCAAGGUGCCCCAGGGUGGUGGGUGGGAGGAGAUGCCCCUGAGGCUACAGCCUUGGGAUAUGAAUGUCACUGACAUGUUUCCUUGCCCCAGGACAAAGCACCUUCUUCACCUUCAGCUCUGGGUGGCACUUACAGUCCCUGAGGCUCACCAGUGUGUGAAGUGCCCAGCACCCCAUUCAGGAUCUACACAAUUUUGAUUCCAGGGUCUCAGAAGGAUACCUGUGUCUAGCCUGGCUCAAGAGGAAGAGGGAUUGGCCACGGGUCAGAGGCAGAGAGCCCAGGACAUCCCGAGCAGCCACAGGCAGCAGGCAAGGGCUACAGCCUUGGCACAAAGCCUGCCAUGGGCUGGUCCUCCAGCUCCCUGAGUGGCUGCCCAAGUGGGAACAAUGACCCUUUCACGUCACGCCUCCUCCAGUCACAGCAACUUUGGCGCCGCAGGACAAAGGGGCCGUUUCAUCAUUGUUGGAUUGAAUCAACAGCUUGCCGGACAGAGCUCUACUGCCCCCCCACCCCCAGCCAGGCCCAGGACUCUGUCUGGUCCAACCACAUGGGUCCCAGGGACCCUCCUGAUCCCUAUCUUCCUCUUUACGGCUCGCUAUGAGGAUACUAGCCCUGCUUCUAAGCCUCCGUCUCCCCGAGUGGGGAGCGGGCAGGGCAAUGGGCUAUCAGGGCUCCAUCCAGGUCGGCUAUACUGAGAUGUGCAUCUUCCACCUGUGCCUUCUGUCCCCAGUCUGCCUGACCCCAAGGAGGGAGCGUUGAGAUGGAACAGGGCAGCACAGCCUUUGGAAGGGGUCCUGUGCUGAGGGUAGAGAAAGCAGACUCUUGUCUGAGUCCUUGUCCCCUGCGUAGCCUUCUGAUGCUAGUGGCUUUCCAUAAUGUGAGCUAGUCCAAAGCCAGAUUUUCUCAUUUUGGGGUUAGCCUCAGCCCACUGUGGACGCCUGACUACACAGAGGCUCAAGAGGUUGGCUUGAGCCGGGAUUGGCUAAGGGGGAGAUGGAGACGAGCCUUUACCUUGCUUUUUGUGAAGAGACCCUUAUCUAGAAACCAAGACACAAAAUGCACACCGCCACCAUUACCACCACCACCACCACCACCACCAUACUACCUCCUGUGAUCAGGACUAGAAUCCAGCCAUAUGGGGCCCAACUUCCUCCCAAAGAAGCAAGGACUAUGGGACACAGGACAAGCUGUAGUUCCAUGUACCUCUGGCCUGAAGGCCAUAAUGGCAUUGAUGGUUUACAUGGGUCCAAAGACCCAGAGGUCUUGGCAAUGGGUCAAGGCAAUGGGUCUGGGGAUCACAGCUGUCUAGAACCACACAGUCUAAGCCAUUCAAGAAGCCUGCUCCAACAGGAGCACUUUUUGGCCCUUCUGCACAGCAUGGGUAUAGAUUCUACCAUGACAGGCUUUUUCAAACUCAGAACCCUGAGAGUGGAACACACUUGGAGAGUAGCCUCCAUGUGUUGGGGAUGGAUGGAUUCACCAUCAUCCCCAUUUCACAGAUAAGAACCUGAGGCCCUGAGGUAGUGGCCACCUGAACCAUACUGAUAGAGCUGGAAUACCUCAGUCGUUAAGAGCACACACUGCUUAAGUUUGGUUCCCAGCACCCAUAUCAGCAGCUCAUAAGCACCCGUAACUCCAGCUUCGGGGGGUUCAAAUGCUGGCAUCCCCAGGCACCCCCAUACAUGUGUGCAUACUCCCCCCCCACAUACACAUCAUUUUUAAAAAAUAAAAUCUUAAAAAAUAAAACCCAUAUGCACUGUGACUCUAACGUCUCUGGCAGGUGAGAGGCAGAGAUGAGGAGAGAGCUGGAAUAUGGGACUGGGCUCAGGGUGGCCCCUGAACACUGGGCAGUAUGGUGGAUGUGGAGGGUAAACACAGCAUGUGUGGGUGUGGGAGACCUGCUGGGCUGGGCUGCCAUAGUCCCUGCAGGCCUGGCGGCCCUGCAUACACAUUACCCAUUUACCCUGCCUCACUUCCUCUGACUAACCCUAAAGAAUUACCCCUCCAGGGGAGUGGAGCCCUGGCAUCCAUCAGCAGGAAAUGCCCAGCUCAGCCCUCCCCAGAGCCACGUGCCCUGGCAUCCUUAUCUGGGUGCUUGCCCAGGCCUCCUAGGAACAUAGGGUUAGAGGUACUGCCUUUGCUGAAGGCUGCUGAGCUCAGCCUGGGCCGUCAUUAGGUAAUCUGGGGUAGAAGUGGGUGCCCUCUCACACCAGGCUGGCCAAGGAUACCCUGCCCCAGUCACCAGUUUUGCUGACACCCUAGCUUUUAGAGUUCUUGGUGUCGAAGAAUGCAGGGCCUUGGGAGGAAGUUAGGGGCCCAGCCCCCAGCAGACAGGCAAGGCUUGCACUUUCGAACAUGUUCAACUUCCUUCAAUUCCUAGGCAGUGCCACUCAGGAACAGUCUCUAUCCAAGAGGCUGAGAGGGCGAAACUGCCUUGAUGCCUGGAGGAAUGGGAGCCUGGCCUACAGACAAUGGAGACCAGGCCCCUCUAGGAAGCUCAGAUGAUCCUCUGUAGCUGCCAUCCGGCUGAGGUAAUGAGACUCAGGCUUUGGACAGCUUCUAGGUCAAGGGCACCUGCCUAGGUAGGGCCUGUCCUAAGCAGAGGCCACUGAAACCCCAAGAAGAGGUGCAACAAGCCACAGAGGUCCUCAGAAGGGCCAGGAGGCUACAUUUCUGGAUUCUUACUGUUGCUCCACCCCCGAAGGGACACAGGCUUGCAGCCAGGUCAUUCCUGGUCUGGAUCCCAGUAUCCCUUAAGGCUUCACAUUGGCCAGACUGCUGUUGAUGAUGACCCUGGUUCAGAUUCUGAGUGCUUGUAAAAUACCUGCUAGGCCAAACACUCUAGUGUCGUGUAGCCAGAAGGCCCAAUCAGCAUGUUUCUGGAGAGUUCCUACGAGGGGAUUCCACUCUGUCCCCCGCCCCCAAUGGAGUGGACGGGCACAAAGAUUCAGUAACGGCAAGGCCAGCCAGCAUUGUCGCUGGGUCGAGUGGCAACAUCUAAGAUAUUCUUAGAUGGAGACUAGGCAUAGAGCAGCUUGCCUAAGCCCAGAGACGACACUCACACUGAGAUUUAUGCAGAGUAACCUGAAAGCAUUUUUACCACUCAAACCAUAAAACAGUGCAGCCAGGGUCGGCAUGGGACAAACAGAAAGCCCCAUAGCCGCUGGUCCAGCAACCUGUACCCGUGAAACUCCUUAGUGCCUCCUUGUAUAUUCACUCAUGGCUUCCUGGGCCAGUCAGUGACUCCAGGCUAUGUGAUCCAGGGCCAGCCCUGCAGGCCCUCUCUAGCCUGUAACUGCAAGUCCUACACCGUGAGUUCCUGCCCUCCUUAAAGGAUGUGGGGAGAAUCGGAGAUCUCAGAUGAGCAAUGUCUGUGGAGAAAGCUCAGUCUGGCUUUGCACUCAGACUGGUCUGUAGCCCACCCUCAGGAGGGACCCUCUGUGUGACUCUCGGGCAGGUCAUUUCACUUCUUUGAGUCUCACUUGAAUGAGGACACUGACGAUACCGCAUCACACAUGGGGUACCCUGGGGCCCCAGGGAAGAGGAGACAGCCCCUCCCAGGACAGUAGUAGUGCAUGCACAGAGGGUACUCAAAAGUUUUAGGGGUGCAGGCUGCUGGGGCCAACUGUGAUGGGCUUUCUACCCGUCCCAGGCCAUCACCCUAAGGGCAGGUGGCAUGGACUAUGGCACAGGGGAUGGCUGCAGUGGCUCCUGGGUACCCUGUGCCUGGUGCUGUUGACCCAAACUGCAAAGGCUUCUCCUCCCAGGGUUUGGAGUUGCGCUGUUGGGACCAUGCAAAGUGCAAAUAGCCCCGCCAUGGCAUCUGCCGUGACUGGAGGACACAGGGAUAGACAGCCUGCCUCUAAACAAGGCAUGCACUCUGGUGACCCUGUAGAAUGGUGGAAGAAAGAGUGCCAGGCCAUUGUGCCUAGGGGCACCCCUGUGAAGGAAGGUGGUAUCUCUCCCCUGACCAUGAAAACCUGAGCCUGUGCCUGAACUGGUGGCAACGGACUCUGCCAAACUCUCCCCCCAGAAGGAAUCUCCUUCCUGACAUCUGGGGCCAGCAGCGACCGCUGCUCCAAGCCAAAGACUUGGCUCAAGCUCUCCAGCUUACUCCAUUAGGUUCGUACUUAGCAUGAGUGUGGACACUGAAGCCAGUGUUCAAUAAAAUGGGGUGUGAUGGGGGACCCCAAAGACCCAGUCCUUGCCCGGACAGGAGGGAUAGACUGGAGCUGUGUUGUCUUGGGCCCUGGCUUUACAGAGAGGCUUAGGAACCAGGCUGUCCCAUGGACUCCGAUUCAGGCUAUCCCUCUGUGCCAGCGACUGUCUCCUGCUUGAGCUGGUAUCACCUCUUCCAGGGAUAGAUGAAGGCUGCGGCUUGACUGUACCCUCCUCCCUGUCUCCUGCCUCAAGGCAGGGCUAACUCAUUCACUCUCAAGUCUCUAAAGAACGAAGUAAAGUGGGAGGAGCCAAGAGAAGAGACCCAUGAGGCCAUGGAGCCUGGAGAUCAUGGUGGUAGGGCCCUAGGUGGACUCACCCCUGGCCCUAGGUAUGACUGAGUUACCAGCAUGGGGGUGGGUAGCUCAGUCAGACAACUGAGCUACACAGUAUAUUGAGCUGCUUUCUGGAAGCCAUUGAGUCAAAAGAUCUGAAAAUAUGCACAGCCUUUAGCCCAGAAAUCCAUCUACCCCAGUGUGCCUGCCCCGAGGAAACUGCCACCUGAGCGCACAGAAGGGGCAGCCUCUAACUUGCUCUGUGAUCCCUGACUCACGUCAGCCUGUCAGCUAUGUCCAGAGUCCUUCACGGGGAUUGUCCCCUCCCACCAGCCUGUGGUCCCACAUCUAUGCCCUUCCCUGUCCACCCAGGCAGGAUCUCUGUUUCCCAGGAAUACAGGUGUCCACAGAGGCAGGGAAAAGCAGACUGUGGGCUUUAGCCCUCCUGUGAGCCAAGCUCCAUUCUAGACACACAACGCUCCAUCCUGUCCUCACAGCAAGGUUUUAUUCGCCCUGUUUUUCAGGCAACAAAGCCAAGGCAUCCAGGGCUGCUGAGGCACAGAGCCAGAGAACUCAGCUGUAAUCCUGCAGGCAGCCGAGGGAAUCCUAAGAGACAUGUGGGCAGGGAGGGUAUGGAAGCUCCUCCAGGGCCCUCACAGCCUCCCCGGAGUGUUUCAGCACUCCCCUUCACAAGGCCAUAGCAGGUGCUAGAGGCAGAGGCUGAUGUUUCUCUCUCUCUCUCUCUCUCUCUCUCUCUCUCUCUCUCUCUCUCUCUCUCUCUCUCGUCCCUCUCUUGGCCAUGCACACCCGAGCGCUGGUGUCACCCCACAGCCUCUGCUGCAGCCUCUGGAUGUGCCUGGAAUCCCAACACCGAGCUGCAGAGAUGUCUGGCCAGAGCCGCAAGGUCAAUCCCUCUCUUAACACGGCACACACUACUGCAGCAUUGGCCCGGCCUCAGGGGACCCUCCCCUCAUCUUGGAGAAAUGGAGCAUGAGUCAACUCCCAUUCCACCUCCAGACCUGGGAAAGUAGCAUGGGAGCGAGAGGCAGGAUUCCUGCAGAGCUCUGGACCCAUCUCUUCAAGAGUCUCUCUUAUACAGUCCAGGCUGGUCUCCAACUCUCGAUUCUCCUGCCUCAGCUUCCUGAGUGCUAGGAUUGCAAGCACGUGCCACCGCCUUUGGCUGUCCAAAAGCAUUUACUGAACCCUACCGAAUGCCGAAGGAGGGAGGCGAGGCGGAACAACGCGGGUCAUUCAGACAGCUUGGGGUUGAUGGCCUCUAGCCGGGCAGAAGGACCCCAGAACUUCCUCCACCUGGUGGGUUUGUCCUAGCCUCUGCCCGUCAGUACCCAGGACCACGAUGGACUGACAGGGGUCCACUCUGGCUUGGAACGCUUCUCCAAGCGCCCAGCCUUCAAAUUCAAAUUGGUCACUUGUAAGAGAUGUGGCCUGGGCCUGGUGGAUUCGAUCUGGGCACUGUCUCCGUCUGCUCCAGACCACGGUGGGAACUGCACAGAGGUCACAUGAGUGUAUUUAGUAAGUGCCCAGUGUUAGGAUUCUGUACAUGCGCAGCUCGGGGUCUUGUCUGGCACCUUAUUACGUCAUCAAUGGGCGACUGUGUCCCGGCCUUAAAGCCGGACGUGCGCCCCCACGUGCUCUCUCUCUCUCUGGCCUCUCUUCCUGUUUCCUCUCCGCCAGGCCUGGCUUCUCCGGCCUAUCCCCUCUUCUUUCUAAUAAAGUGCAUUCUAACUCUGGUA